UACUUCAGGCCCCGCCCCUGGUCGCGAUGAUUGAAACAUGAGUAACACGUGUCAAUGUGUAGGGAAGGAGCUGCAGAUGCUGGUUUAAACGAAAUACAAGGAACUACAGAUGCUCGAAUCUUGUGUGAAACAUGAAGCGCUGCAAGAAUUCGGCAGAGCCACUCUGCUGCCGUUAUGGUCCCGCAGGAGACGCGAUGAGAAGGUGGCCAGCAGGAGGCAACAAAAUGAGAAAAUCACAAAAGGGAUCUACCAAGGAAGUUAAUAAUAUAAACGCCCCCCAACUAUCCAGAGUCCUGAGGUACGGAUGCACCGUAAUAAAUAAAGGUACUAAAAUCAGAGAAAAUGCAAGAUGAUAAACAAAAGAAAAUGGGAGGAAUCACACUGUGUAGCUGGAAUAUAAGGGGUAUUAAUGAACCAAUUAAAAGGGGCAAAAUACUAGCUCAGUUGAAAUCAUAUAACACGGACAUUUCUUUUCUACAGGAAACGCAACUUAAACAUCAAGAUCAGAUGAGAUUCAGGGCGAAAUGGAUAGGCCAAACAUUUCACUCCUCAUACACAUCGAAAUCCAGAGGCACCGCAAUUAUUAUUCGCAAAGGAAUACCAUUCAAAUCAAAGAAUAUUAUAUCAGAUAAGGAAGAGAGAUACCUUAUAGUCACAGGAGAGAUUUAUGCUACGCCAAUCACUUUGGUAAACAUAUAUGCGCCUAAUUUUGAUAAUCCUCAAUUUUUUAAUAAAAUCCUGAAUAAAAUCGCAGAAUUUAACUACCAAAAUGUUAUAAUUGGAAGAGACUUCAACUGUGCUUUAGAUCUGUACUUGGAUAAAUCAAUGCAAAAACAAAGAGGUAAUAUGAAAUCUAAAACUAGUGAACUCUUAAAUACAUAUAUAAAAAAUACAAAUAUAGCAGACGUUUGGAGAAUCGCGAAACUGACUGGAAAGGAAUACUCGUUUUAUUCAAUGGUACAUAAAACAUACUCACAUAUAGACUAUCUCCUAAUGGAUUCAAAACUAAUUCCUUAUACUCUUAACCCUAAAUACCACACCAAUACGAUUUCAGAUUAUUCCCCGCUAUCUUUUGUUUUAAAACCGGAAGGAAUCUCUAUGAACAAAUCAUUCUGGAGGUUUAACUCGCAAAUUUUGAAAGACCCACAAGGGAGUAUAUAUCUAAAAAAAACAAAUGGAUCUAUUUUUUGAGAUAAAUGAUACACCAGAUAUUUUGCCCACUUUAUUAUGGGAAUCCCUCAAAGCAUUUAUUAGAGGAGUCAUUAUCUCAUAUCAAGCUUUUCAAAACAAAAAGAAUAAAAAUGAACAAAGACAAUUAGAAGAACAAAUCAGACAACUAGAUAUAGAUAAUGCUAAAUAUCCAACUAUGGAUAAACAUAAUAACAUUUUAAUACUGAAAUUUAAGCUAAAUAAAUUAUUAUCAGAGAAGAUUAUAAGAUUAUUCCAAAUUACAAAACAAGAACAUUUCGAAUUUGGGAUAAACCCCAUAAACUUUUGGCACGCCAACUGAAAAAACGGGAAAAAGAUCAUGCAAUUUGAAAGAUUAAAUCAGAUAGAGGGGAAUUAUUAACACUACCUAAUGAUAUCAAUAAAAGAUUUUCUCAAUAUUAUAAGAAUUUAUACACAUCGAAAACGCUAAUAGACAAUAAUAAAGUUUCAGAAUUUUUGAACGAUUGUAACCUCCCAAAACUAGAAUUGAAGGAACAAGAGGAACUGGGAGCACAAAUUACAGCUAAGGAAAUAGAAGACACAAUAAACACACUUAAGAAUGGAAAAACACCAGGACCAGACGGAUUCAGUAAUGAAUUUUAUAAAUGUUUUUACGACACAGUGACCCCACGUCUACAGAAAAUGUAUACAUUCGCUUUUAAAGAACAAACCUUACCUGAAACACUAGCAGAAUCAACGAUCACACUAAUACUUAAAAAAGAUAAAGAUAUAGAAGAACCAGGAUCAUACAGAGCAAUUGCUUUGUUAAAUACGGAUCAAAAAAUAUUAGCGAAAAUACUAGCUAGAAGACCAAGUCAAUAUGUCAGUAAAUUAAUAAAUAAGGAUCAGACGGGAUUUAUACCUAAGAGACACUCAUUUAAUAACCUGAGACGUCUGCUUAACAUAAUGCACUCUCACAAAUCUCAAGAACAAGAGUUAUCUAUCAUUUCAUUGGACGCAGAAAAAGCGUUUGAUCAAGUAGAAUGGGAUUAUAUGUUUAAAGUAUUGCAAAAAUUUCAAAUGGGAGAGAGCUUCAUCGCAUGGAUAAAAUUAUUAUAUAACAAACCCACGGCUAGAAUAUUAACUAAUAAUAUACUAUUGUGGCGGCUCCUAAGGGUCGUCCCAUUAUACUGCCGAACCCCUCGGCACAGGAGUGGUGCAGUCCGGAGGCGGUCCUUAGCCGGAGGGUAUAAAAGGCAGGGUUUGGGUGCCAUCUUUCCCUGGUUUCGUCUUCCCCUGAACCGGGAGGAAAUAAAGAAAAGUGCUUCUCAAACUGCGGACUACUUGCCUCAUUUUGAGACCCACGCACUACAUUGGUGACCCCGACGUGUCGAUUGACCGUUUAAAGCCGGCGCACCUGGACAUUGACCAGCCGGUGCUGGUUGCUCAACCUCGGCCCCGAGGGCGUCCCCCCUCACGACUCCCUCCACCUGUCACUCCACCUGUCCUCCCGCCGGCCCCUCGACCUGUCCCUCCACCUACGCCCCCGCAAGCCCCGGGAUCUGCUGAC
Long non-coding RNA from Leucoraja erinaceus (little skate), 2719 nucleotides. RefSeq lists it as uncharacterized. The record is from RefSeq and is a predicted model, not a curated record. The transcript has 4 exons. Lineage: Eukaryota; Metazoa; Chordata; Chondrichthyes; Rajiformes; Rajidae.